Molecule: ribosomal RNA, 189 nt
Filed under: uncultured bacterium
Lineage: Bacteria
Description: partial 16S ribosomal RNA
Rfam family: Bacterial small subunit ribosomal RNA
Source: RNAcentral
ACUCCUACGGGAGGCAGCAGUGGGGAAUCUUAGACAAUGGGGGAAACCCUGAUCUAGCCAUGCCGCGUGAUCGAUGAAGGCCUUAGGGUUGUAAAGAUCUUUCAGAUGGGAAGAUAAUGACGGUACCAUCAGAAGAAGCCCCGGCUAACUCCGUGCCAGCAGCCGCGGUAAUACGGAGGGUGCAAGCGU